GUGGGGAAUAUUGGACAAUGGGCGAAAGCCUGAUCCAGCCAUGCCGCGUGUGUGAAGAAGGUCUUCGGAUUGUAAAGCACUUUAAGUUGGGAGGAAGGGCAGUAAGUUAAUACCUUGCUGUUUUGACGUUACCGACAGAAUAAGCACCGGCUAACUUCGUGCCAGCAGCCGCGGUAAUACGAAGGGUGCAAGCGUUAAUCGGAAUUACUGGGCGUAAAGCGCGCGUAGGUGGUUUUGUAAGUUGGAGGUGAAAUCCCCGGGCUCAACCUGGGAACUGCCUCCAAAACUGCAUGACUAGAGUACGGUAGAGGGUGGUGGAAUUUCCUGUGUAGCGGUGAAAUGCGUAGAUAUAGGAAGGAACACCAGUGGCGAAGGCGACCACCUGGACUGAUACUGACACUGAGGUGCGAAAGCGUGGGGAGCAAACAGGAUUAGAAACCCCUGUAGUCC
RNAcentral lists this ribosomal RNA (450 nucleotides) under uncultured bacterium. Its description in RNAcentral is "partial 16S ribosomal RNA". It matches the Rfam family "Bacterial small subunit ribosomal RNA", at positions 354 to 796 of the family's 1533-position model. The record is from RNAcentral.